CGGGGCGUAGCGCAGCCCGGUAGCGCACCUGCUUUGGGAGCAGGGGGUCCCAGGUUCGAAUCCUGGUGCCCCGA
RNAcentral lists this transfer RNA (74 nucleotides) under Haliscomenobacter hydrossis DSM 1100. Its description in RNAcentral is "tRNA-Pro (TGG) (tRNA-Pro-TGG-1-1)". It matches the Rfam family "tRNA". From Rfam's summary of the family: Transfer RNA (tRNA) molecules are approximately 80 nucleotides in length. Their secondary structure includes four short double-helical elements and three loops (D, anti-codon, and T loops). Lineage: Bacteria; Pseudomonadati; Bacteroidota; Saprospiria; Saprospirales; Haliscomenobacteraceae. RNAcentral also lists the same sequence under 6 other names. The record is from Rfam by way of RNAcentral.